Ananas comosus (pineapple) is the source of this 249-nucleotide long non-coding RNA. RefSeq lists it as uncharacterized. Lineage: Eukaryota; Viridiplantae; Streptophyta; Magnoliopsida; Poales; Bromeliaceae. The record is from RefSeq and is a predicted model, not a curated record. The transcript is spliced from 3 exons.
UGUGGACUGAAGUGAAGCUUUGAUCCAAGUAAAGAAUUCUUGUUGAUUGGAGUUGCUCUAUAACCUGGAUCAGCAUCUAAUCAAGCUUGGACUCUUGGAGCUGAAUGAAAUUUGAGCUGAGCACCAUUUGAGGGAUUUUCGAAUUCAGGGUUAAAGGAAAAAGGCCUGGACUCGAAGGUUGAUGGAUUGAUGUGUUGAUGCUGCCGAAAUGCAGGGAUGGACUAAUUGAGGCUGUGAGCAAGAUAAUUG